RNAcentral lists this ribosomal RNA (668 nucleotides) under Bacillus subtilis. RNAcentral's name for it is "bacterial SSU rRNA". It matches the Rfam family "Bacterial small subunit ribosomal RNA", at positions 354 to 1012 of the family's 1533-position model. Lineage: Bacteria; Bacillati; Bacillota; Bacilli; Caryophanales; Bacillaceae. The record is from RNAcentral.
GUAGGGAAUCUUCCGCAAUGGACGAAAGUCUGACGGAGCAACGCCGCGUGAGUGAUGAAGGUUUUCGGAUCGUAAAGCUCUGUUGUUAGGGAAGAACAAGUACCGUUCGAAUAGGGCGGUACCUUGACGGUACCUAACCAGAAAGCCACGGCUAACUACGUGCCAGCAGCCGCGGUAAUACGUAGGUGGCAAGCGUUGUCCGGAAUUAUUGGGCGUAAAGGGCUCGCAGGCGGUUUCUUAAGUCUGAUGUGAAAGCCCCCGGCUCAACCGGGGAGGGUCAUUGGAAACUGGGGAACUUGAGUGCAGAAGAGGAGAGUGGAAUUCCACGUGUAGCGGUGAAAUGCGUAGAGAUGUGGAGGAACACCAGUGGCGAAGGCGACUCUCUGGUCUGUAACUGACGCUGAGGAGCGAAAGCGUGGGGAGCGAACAGGAUUAGAUACCCUGGUAGUCCACGCCGUAAACGAUGAGUGCUAAGUGUUAGGGGGUUUCCGCCCCUUAGUGCUGCAGCUAACGCAUUAAGCACUCCGCCUGGGGAGUACGGUCGCAAGACUGAAACUCAAAGGAAUUGACGGGGGCCCGCACAAGCGGUGGAGCAUGUGGUUUAAUUCGAAGCAACGCGAAGAACCUUACCAGGUCUUGACAUCCUCUGACAAUCCUAGAGAUAGGAC